GAUGAACGCUGGCGGCGUGCCUAAUACAUGCAAGUCGAGCGAAUGGAUUAAGAGCUCGCUCUUAUGAAGUUAGCGGCGGACGGGUGAGUAACACGUGGGUAACCUGCCCAUAAGACUGGGAUAACUCCGGGAAACCGGGGCUAAUACCGGAUAACAUUUUGAACCGCAUGGUUCGAAAUGGAAAGGCGGCUUCGGCUGUCACUUAUGGAUGGACCCGCGUCGCAUUAGCUAGUUGGUGAGGUAACGGCUCACCAAGGCAACGAUGCGUAGCCGACCUGAGAGGGUGAUCGGCCACACUGGGACUGAGACACGGCCCAGACUCCUACGGGAGGCAGCAGUAGGGAACCUUCCGCAAUGGACGAAAGUCUGACGGAGCAACGCCGCGUGAGUGAUGAAGGCUUUCGGGUCGUAAAACUCUGUUGUUAGGGAAGAACAAGUGCUAGUUGAAUAAGCUGGCACCUUGACGGUACCUAACCAGAAAGCCACGGCUAACUACGUGCCAGCCGCCGCGGUAA
RNAcentral lists this ribosomal RNA (515 nucleotides) under uncultured bacterium. RNAcentral describes it as "partial 16S ribosomal RNA". It matches the Rfam family "Bacterial small subunit ribosomal RNA", at positions 28 to 523 of the family's 1533-position model. The record is from RNAcentral.